GACCAAACAAGCUAUAUCCACUGGGAGCAUUGUAGACAAGAAUUCCCUCGAGUGGGCUGGAGACAGUGAAGACUGGCACUUGAUUCCAAAAUAGAUGCUUCUUAUGCUUUCACCUGAAAAUACUGCGUGUGCUCAAGAGUAGAUAUGUAAAACGUUAAAAUAACACUUCCAUCGGGUUCAUACACAGUAGAAAACCUAAAAAUUUUAAAAAUAUUUAAAUUUAAAAAAUUAAAUAAAAUAUUUAUUAAAAAAUAUUUAAUUCAUAUAAUAUAUUUUUAAGAUAUAAUAUUUCAAUUUUCACUAAUAUAUAUAAUAUAAUUUUCUGACGAAUAAUGAUCAGUUGAUAAUCAUCCUUAUCAUCAUGUGAUUUCAUCAUUAUAACCACACUUAUUCUAAAAAACAUACACAAAGCCAUGCACACUCGGGGGCGGAGCCACGUUAAAAAGAAUUAUAAUCCCAAAUUUAUAAAGUUUAAAUUCUAGCUACGUCUUUAUGCACACUCUCUCACACACAUAUAUGGGGGCGGUUUGCAGCCUGAAAUUUAACCCGUGGACAACUUUGUUUGAGUUAGCUCACUCUAACAAAGGAAUUAGAUCAAAUAACAAGAAAAUAAAUUUUUACUGCUCUAGAAUAACUUCCCCUAAUCAACAAUGCGAUUCACUUGUUAUUGCAUUUAUCAUUUAAUUAACAUAUAAAAAUUGUUUCUAAAGAAUUGAUUUCCCAUUUACGGAGAACUUAAUAUUCUAUAUUUUUCAAGUGCGAUAGUCUUUUUCUGUUCUCCCAUUGCCUAUCAAGCGUCUUCAAAGAUAUUAUAUUUUGUAUUCAAUUUCUUCCCUCGUGAGUUAUAUACUAAAAGUUUUGAACAUAUAAAAGGAUUUAUUUUAAAUAAAUAAAAAAUAAUUUCCUUGAUCAAAUAUAAAUAAUAUUUUACAAUAGAUACUUCAAGCUACCAAAUUUUGCCACAUAUAUGAGAAUCAAUUGUAUUAAAGAAGAGUUCCUUCCAAUAAUUAAUCAAUAAGAAUAAUUCAACAUCUCAAAAAUUAUCACCUGCUUAUCCAGUAGCAAUAUAAAUUAAUAAAAAUCUCUUCGUUUCAAAAUUACAUUAAAAAUCAGAAAGCAGGAGAUCCCAAAGACAAAUUUUCAUGUCAUGGAAAUUAUUACUUUUUAAAUUGCUAUACUUAAUAUGAUCAAAGAUAAAUUGAAAGAAAGCCAUGAUUAACUUUACACAUUUGGAAAGCAGAAUGUAUAUAUUAAAUGCAAUGUGUAAUUGGCCUUUAUUAUGGAUUAUCAAACAAGUCAAAAAUCAGAAAGAAAGGAAACACAAUAGUGGAAGUAAUCAACAGAAAAUUAAUAGUUUCCAGAUUAGAGUUGAAAUUAACUCAAGAAACUAGGAUUUGUUUUUUAUACAAAUUUUUACCAUAUUACAAAAUUAAACCUGCCAAUGCUCUGCUUAAGCUUCGGCAGCAAACUUCAAGUAAAAUGAUAUUAUAAACUAUAUAUGUAGAAGAAUGUCGGUAUAUAUAUUAUUCGAAAGCAUCCAUAUAUACACAACAACCUCAAGAGGAAAAGGAAAAUGGAAGAGAUUAUAGAAGUGAAAUUAAGUUGUAAAUGCAAGUUUUGUUUUCCUCUAAAUUCCAUGCAGACGUACCAUGCAUAAGUAUUUGUCACUGCAAUCAUCUUUAGCAGAAUUUAUCAAGACGUUGAUGUUGCUGAAAUAUGCUGCCUACCACUUUUGUUUUCCUUCUUCAAUUCCUCACUAUUAUUUUCUCACCACCUUAGGUAAAAUACUCUAUACAUAUUCUCCCACUCCCAUCACAAA
This 1819-nucleotide long non-coding RNA is filed under the name Nicotiana benthamiana. RNAcentral's name for it is "long non-coding RNA (NBEN_LNC036292)". Lineage: Eukaryota; Viridiplantae; Streptophyta; Magnoliopsida; Solanales; Solanaceae. The record is from RNAcentral.